GUGGAUUAGAUACCCUGGUAGUCCACGCCGUAAACGGUGGGCGCUAGGUGUGGGGAACAUUCCACGUUCUCCGUGCCGCAGCUAACGCAUUAAGCGCCCCGCCUGGGGAGUACGGCCGCAAGGCUAAAACUCAAAGGAAUGGACGGGGGCCCGCACAAGCGGCGGAGCAUGCGGCUUAAUUCGAUGCAACGCGAAGAACCUUACCGAGGCUUGACAGUUGGGGAAAUCUGGCAGAGAUGUCAGGUCCGCAAGG
This 253-nucleotide ribosomal RNA is filed under the name uncultured bacterium. Its description in RNAcentral is "partial 16S ribosomal RNA". It matches the Rfam family "Bacterial small subunit ribosomal RNA", at positions 773 to 1022 of the family's 1533-position model. The record is from RNAcentral.